AGAGUUUGAUCAUGGCUCAGGAUGAACGCUAGCGGCAGGCUUAACACAUGCAAGUCGAGGGGCAGCAUAAUGGAUAGCAAUAUCUAUGGUGGCGACCGGCGCACGGGUGCGUAACGCGUAUGCAACCUACCUUUAACAGGGGGAUAACACUGAGAAAUUGGUACUAAUACCCCAUAAUAUCAUAGAAGGCAUCUUUUAUGGUUGAAAAUUCCGAUGGUUAGAGAUGGGCAUGCGUUGUAUUAGCUAGUUGGUGGGGUAACGGCUCACCAAGGCGACGAUACAUAGGGGGACUGAGACGGUUAACCCCCCANACCUGGUACUGGAGACACGGACCAGACUCCUACGGGAGC
RNAcentral lists this ribosomal RNA (350 nucleotides) under uncultured bacterium. Its description in RNAcentral is "bacterial SSU rRNA". It matches the Rfam family "Bacterial small subunit ribosomal RNA", at positions 8 to 348 of the family's 1533-position model. The record is from RNAcentral.